This 385-nucleotide ribosomal RNA is filed under the name uncultured bacterium. RNAcentral's name for it is "bacterial SSU rRNA". It matches the Rfam family "Bacterial small subunit ribosomal RNA", at positions 29 to 414 of the family's 1533-position model. The record is from RNAcentral.
AUUGAACGCUGGCGGAAUGCUUUACACAUGCAAGUCGGGCGGCAGCGCGGGGGCAACCCUGGCGGCGAGCGGCGAACGGGUGAGUAAUACAUCGGAACGUGUCCUUGAGUGGGGGAUAGCUCGGCGAAAGCCGGAUUAAUACCGCAUAAGCUCUGAGGAGGAAAGCGGGGGACUGGUAACGGCCUCGCGCUGUUGGAGCGGCCGAUGUCGGAUUAGCUAGUUGGUGGGGUAAAGGCCCACCAAGGCGACGAUCCGUAGCUGGUCUGAGAGGAUGAUCAGCCACACUGGAACUGAGACACGGUCCAGACUCCUACGGGAGGCAGCAGUGGGGAAUUUUGGACAAUGGGGCAACCCUGAUCCAGCCAUUCCGCGUGAGUGAAGAAGG